AGUGAACGCUGGCGGCAGGCCUAACACAUGCAAGUCGAGCGGCAGCGCGGGGCAACCUGGCGGCGAGCGGCGGACGGGCGAGGAAUACGUCGGAAUCUGCCUUUUUGUGGGGGAUAACGUAGGGAAACUUACGCUAAUACCGCAUACGACCUACGGGUGAAAGUGGGGGACCGCAAGGCCUCACGCAGAAAGAUGAGCCGACGUCCGAUUAGCUAGUUGGUGAGGUAAUGGCUCACCAAGGCGACGAUCGGUAGCUGGUCUGAGAGGAUGAUCAGCCACACUGGGACUGAGACACGGCCCAGACUCCUACGGGAGGCAGCAGUGGGGAAUAUUGGACAAUGGGCGCAAGCCUGAUCCAGCCAUGCCGCGUGUGUGAAGAAGGCCUUCGGGUUGUAAAGCACUUUUGUCCGGAAAGAAAUCCUGAAGAUUAAUACUCUUUGGGGAUGACGGUACCGGAAGAAUAAGCACCGGCUAACUUCGUGCCAGCAGCCGCCGCAG
RNAcentral lists this ribosomal RNA (498 nucleotides) under uncultured bacterium. RNAcentral describes it as "partial 16S ribosomal RNA". It matches the Rfam family "Bacterial small subunit ribosomal RNA", at positions 29 to 523 of the family's 1533-position model. The record is from RNAcentral.